Molecule: ribosomal RNA, 1391 nt
Filed under: Hapithus symphonos
Lineage: Eukaryota; Metazoa; Arthropoda; Insecta; Orthoptera; Gryllidae
Description: partial 18S ribosomal RNA
Rfam family: Eukaryotic small subunit ribosomal RNA
Source: RNAcentral
CCAGUAGUCAUAUGCUUGUCUCAAAGAUUAAGCCAUGCAUGUCUCAGUGCAAGMCRARYUAAGGUGAAACCGCGAAUGGCUCAUUAAAUCAGUUAUGGUUCCUURGAYCKUACCASUUUACUUGGAUAACUGUGGUAAUUCUAGAGCUAAUACAUGCAAWCRSAGUCCCGACCRGAAWYGGRAGGGACGCUUUUAUUAGAUCAAAAYCAAUCGGYCGGCUCGYCCGGUCGUUCYGYYUUGGUGACUCUGRAUAACUUUGGGCUGAUCGCACGGUCYYCGYACCGGCGACGYAYCYUUCAAAUGUCUGCCUUAUCAACUKWCGAUGGUAGGYUCUGCGCCUACCAUGGUKRUAACGGGURACGGGGAAUCAGGGUUCGAUUCCGGAGAGGGAGCCUGAGAAACGGCUACCACAUCCAAGGAAGGCAGCAGGCGCGCAAAUUACCCACUCCCGGCACGGGGAGGUAGUGACGAAAAAUAACGAUACGGGACUCAUCCGAGGCCCCGUAAUCGGAAUGAGAACACUUUAAAUCCUUUAACGAGUAUCCAUURGAGGGCAAGUCUGGUGCCAGCAGCCGCGGUAAUUCCAGCUCCAAUAGCGUAUAUUAAAGUUGUUGCGGUUAAAAAGCUCGUAGUUGGAUUUGUGUCCCACGCUGUCGGUCAUCGCUCGUCGGUGCUAACUGGCAUGUUCGUGGACGUCCUGCCGGUGGUGGCGAGUCGAAAGCGUUGCGGCCGCCAAGCUGAAACUUAAAGGAAUUGACGGAAGGGCACCACAAGAAGUGGGGCUUGCGGCUUAAUUUGACUCAACGCGGGGAAACUCAUCAGGCCAGGACACUGGAAGGAUUGACAGAUUGAGAGCUCUUUCUUGAUUCGGUGGGCGGUGGUGCAUGGCCGUUUUUAGUUGGUGGAGCGAUUUGUCUGGUUAAUUCCGAUAACGAACGAGACCCUGGCCUGCUAACUAGUCGAUACCGGCAUCCUUGGCGCAGCCGGCGACCUCACAUCUUCUUAGAGGGACAGGCGGCUUCUAGCCGCACGAAAUUGGGCAAAAACAGGUCUGUGAUGCCCUUAGAUGUUCUGAGCAGCACGCGUGCCACACUGAAGGUAGCAACGUGUGUUUUCCUUGGCCGAGAGGUCCGGGUAACCCGUUGAAUGUCCUUCGUGCUAGGGAUUGGGGCUUGCAAUUAUUCCCCACGAACGAGGAAUUCCUAGUAAGCGGGAAUCAUUACUUCCCGUUGAUUAUGUCCCUGCCCUUUGUCCACACCGCCCGUCGCUACUACCGAUUGAAUGAUUUAGUGAGGUCUUCGGACCGGUGCGCGGCCUCUUCGCGAUGCCGCUGCGUCUGGAAAGAUGACCAAACUUGAUUAUUUAGAGGAAGUAAAAGUCGUAACAAGGUU